RNAcentral lists this transfer RNA (57 nucleotides) under Thereuopoda clunifera. RNAcentral's name for it is "tRNA-Leu". The record is from RNAcentral. Lineage: Eukaryota; Metazoa; Arthropoda; Chilopoda; Scutigeromorpha; Scutigeridae.
UAACUUGGCAGAAAUUAUGCGUUAAAUUUAGGAUUUAAAGAUGUUCAAUACAGUUAU